Molecule: non-coding RNA, 252 nt
Organism: Cinara cedri
Lineage: Eukaryota; Metazoa; Arthropoda; Insecta; Hemiptera; Aphididae
Source: the annotation of a GenBank genome assembly
CAAACGAAUUACGGACUAUACACUGACAGGGGAAAAACCAUGAAUUUUGUACUUUUAGAUUCCGAGCGUAACGAGGAGAACUAUCGGUUUUACUAAGAUGUUUAUUUUUUUUUCUUUCUUUCAUUGUUCUAGUCUGUGGACACGUUUUUUCGUAGUAAACUUGCUCCGAUGUAUAAGUGUAGUACCUUUUCUGAAAGCCCAAGUUCCUAAGACUUAAACUUCAAGUCAUGUUUUGAUUUUCUACACCGUUUU